AGUGAACGCUGGCGGUAGGCCUAACACAUGCCAGUCGAACGGCAGCACAGUAAGAGCUUGCUCUUACGGGUGGCGAGUGGCGGACGGGUGAGGAAUACAUCGGAAUCUACUUUUUCGGGGGGGAUAACGUAGGGAAACUUACGCUAAUACCGCAUACGACCUACGGGUGAAAGCAGGGGAUCUUCGGACCUUGCGCGAUUGAAUGAGCCGAUGUCGGAUUAGCUAGUUGGCGGGGUAAAGGCCCACCAAGGCGACGAUCCGUAGCUGGUCUGAGAGGAUGAUCGGCCACACUGGAACUGAGACACGGUCCAGACUCCUACGGGAGGCAGCAGUGGGGAAUAUUGGACAAUGGGCGAAAGCCUGAUCCAGCCAUACCGCGUGGGUGAAGAAGGCCUUCGGGUUGUAAAGCCCUUUUGUUGGGAAAGAAAAGCAGCAGGUUAAUACCCCGCUGUUCUGACGGUACCCAAAGAAUAAGCACCGGCUAACUUCGUG
This 492-nucleotide ribosomal RNA is filed under the name uncultured bacterium. RNAcentral describes it as "partial 16S ribosomal RNA". It matches the Rfam family "Bacterial small subunit ribosomal RNA", at positions 29 to 507 of the family's 1533-position model. The record is from RNAcentral.